GAUGGUUUGUCCUUCUCCUCCACUUAGGAACUCUUCUAUCUUCUGUAGCAUGUCCUUAUUGCCCAUACCCAACCCCUCCACACAAACCACCACACAAGCCAAAGCCUCCGGCUGUAAAACCACCUUAUACACCAAAGCCUCCUGCUGUGAAACCACCACACAAGCCAAAGCCUCCGGCUGUAAAACCACCAUAUACACCAAAGCCUCCUGCUGUGAAACCACCACAUAAACCAAAACCUCCCAUUGUAAAACCUCCAAUAAUAGUGCAUCCUCCAUAUAUCCCAAAACCUCCCUUUGUGCACCCACCUUUCAGACCAAAGCCACCAAUUAUCAUACCACCACACCCUCCCAUUGUUAAACCACCACCCUUCAUUCCUAAGCCACCAGUUGUGCUGCCACCUUAUGUACCAAAGCCACCUAUUGUUAAACCACCGCCCUAUGUGCCAAAGCCACCUGUGGUGUUGCCACCUUAUAUACCAAAGCCACCUAUUGUUAAACCACCACCCUAUGUGCCCAAGCCGCCUAUUGUUAAACCACCACCUUACGUGCCAAAGCCACCUGUGGUGUUGCCACCCUAUGUGCCAAAGCCACCUAUUGUUGAACCACCACCCUAUGUGCCAAAGCCACCCGUCAUUUCCCCACCAUUUGUGCCAAAGCCACCUGUGGUGUCGCCACCUUAUGUACCAAAGCCGCCAGUUGUUGUAACUCCACCACCAUAUGUGCCAAAGCCACCUGUGGUUUCACCACCAUUUGUGCCAAAGCCACCUGUGGUGUCGCCACCAUAUGUACCAAAGCCACCUGUUGUUGUUACUCCACCACCAUAUGUGCCAAAGCCACCACCAACUCCCCAACCAACCCCUUGCCCACCACCCCCACCGACUCCCGUGCCAUGUCCACCGCCACCAAAGAAACCGGAGAUUUGCCCAAUUGAUACCCUCAAACUAGGUGCUUGUGUGGACUUGUU
RNAcentral lists this long non-coding RNA (964 nucleotides) under Coffea arabica (coffee). RNAcentral describes it as "long non-coding RNA (CARA_LNC004185)". Lineage: Eukaryota; Viridiplantae; Streptophyta; Magnoliopsida; Gentianales; Rubiaceae. The record is from RNAcentral.